AACCUACGGGACGCAGCAGUAGGGAAUAUUGCUCAAUGGGGGAAACCCUGAAGCAGCAACGCCGCGUGGAGGAUGAAGGUUUUCGGAUUGUAAACUCCUUUUGUUAGAGAAGAUAAUGACGGUAUCUAACGAAUAAGCACCGGCUAACUCCGUGCCAGCAGCCGCGGUAAUACGGAGGGUGCAAGCGUUACUCGGAAUCACUGGGCGUAAAGAGCGCGUAGGCGGGAUAGCAAGUCAGAUGUGAAAUCCUAUGGCUUAACCAUGGAACUGCUUUGGAAACUGUGCAGCUAGAGUGCAGGAGAGGG
RNAcentral lists this ribosomal RNA (305 nucleotides) under uncultured bacterium. RNAcentral's name for it is "bacterial SSU rRNA". It matches the Rfam family "Bacterial small subunit ribosomal RNA", at positions 335 to 658 of the family's 1533-position model. The record is from RNAcentral.